GAUGUUACAGGCACAAUUUCAUCAAACUAGAAUUCAUGGUAGUGCAUUGCAUGUUGAGUUAAAUUUGGCUAGAAUAUUGUUGAGUAAUUAUUUCAGCUGAAAGUUUGUUCGUGAUGCAGAUUGUGGGCAAUCAUGGAUAGGAGAUACAAUUGUUGUUUAGUAAUAUUCACUUAAUGGUAUGUUUCCCCUUUCACUGUUUUUGUAUACUAAGGAAAAUAUGUCAGUGACCUUCUGGUCUUGCUAGCAGAUGCUUCUUGAUUUGAGGACCAAGCACUUCAAUUGAUUCGUUUUCAAGUCCAUGUAGAUUACUCAUUUGAAUAACAAUAACAGUAUCUUCUACCAGGUUGUUUGAGCAUCUUCUAUCAGAUAGUGAAGCAUAGGUAUAUUCCAUGUUAGUUCCUGAUUCACGUUUUCCUCUUAUUGUUGUACUGUAGUUUUUAUGCAUUGCCACCUCCUUUGGUUGCCUUCCCUUUAUUUUGAAAAAUUUUCUGGACUCAUAUAUGUAUGUCCAUAUAUGCAGAACAUUUAUGCCUUAAACGGAUCUGAUUUCUCAAAAGUAAAAGUUCAUAUUUUGAUUGUAAAAUUAGUUUCCUAUUUUCAUGUGCAUGCAGAAAUUGCAGAGGUAUUCAGUUGAUCUCUUUAAGGUCAAUGAUAUUGUAAUCUGACUGGUACUUCCAUCAUCGUGCCUCCUACACUCUACGUGGCUGGAUAAAAUGACUGUCCCAGCUAUUUCCAUUACCUACUCUCAUGUAUUGUGCCUCCUUCUCCCCCAACUUGAAGUAUGUGAUUAUUUUCAGCCAAUUACUGACAUACUAUUAAGAUCAGUCCACAAUAGAGCUUAGACAUGUCAAACUCACCUUUAUAUGGUCUCUAAAUACUUCACAUAUAUUUUGGAAUUUCUUUUACGGAAUUAAGUGCUAAAUGCUCAGAACUAGCACUUUCAGGGAUUAUUAGGUUCUCUCUCUAAGUAUACAUAUACUAAUGGCCCUUGGUGGUAUAGCUUAAGAUUAAAAUAUGUUGAAAAUUUGUAGCUUCUAAAUGUAAUGUACUAACUUUAAAUUUGCACUUGAAUUAUUUUGUCAAGAAUUUUUGUGAUCCAUAUCUACACAAUAGCAGGUCGAUCGGUGGACACGGAAGGAAGAGAAGAGAAAAGGAGAAUAAAACCUCUCCUGGGCAUAAAACGUGAAAGAAUUGUUGAUGCUAUGCUCAAUUAUACUGUGCAUAUAUGCAUACUAGAAGAUUAACAAUCCAUUGAGAAGCUUAAGAUAAAGUUGUAAGACUAAUUGUUUCCCAUGCCCUGUACAAGUCUGACAGUUCUAUUCUUCUAUUUUUUGUUUGUUUGUCUACGAAAAGGUAGCUGCCCCUAAAAUUCACAUGAUGAUUUUAGAUCAUAAUUGGCCAGUUCAUUAUAAAUCCAAUCCAUCUAUUUCUUAUUGCAAAAUUCAAGUAUUAUGUUGCCUUAUGUUUAGAGACCAUCCUCAAAAGGGUUUACACGCUUCUGAAGUUCACACACAAUAAGGUGGUUAGAAGCAUUAGUGUCUCAUGCUUAGGGCUGCUGUAUUUAAAACUUCAUUUCAGAUUACUCAUGCUUGAAUAGUUGUGUGGAUGGUAACAGAGAUAAAAGUCCAGGUGACUUCAAAUACCAAAUCAAAGCCAUGGAGAACAUCAUAGACAAUGUUUAGCAGGUGAGGUUGAGGCAAAUAUUACCUUUCCCGGAGCGUAGGGUGAGGAGGCUGGGAGGAAGGAGACCAUGCAGCUAUUCCCGCAGAGCGCCGGCUUGGGUGGUGUGCAAGAUGCUCGCUCUUUUCCAAAGGAGUAAAACAGAAGCAACUUAAUCAUCCAUGUGCAUGGAUUCUAUAACAUAAAUUGAGAUCCAGAUGAAGAGCCGGUGGACGCGUGGCCACCGACGGAGAAUGUCGGUGAGGCGGUGGGGAUCUGGAGGAGACUGCCUAAAACACAGGAGAGGGUCGCCUGGCGAGCUGCCCGUGAGGCAUUGCUGUUACCGAAAUAGAGGACGCCGAGGAGAAACGAUAUCGGUAGCAGUUGGGGUCGAGAUCAGAAGCGGUCGCUCAACCCGGCUAGCUCUCGUAACGUGUUUCGUUUCCGGUGGGGACUGACCGAUAACAGUUUUGAGCUGUGCUGGGACUCAAUUACAAGAUACCUGUUUUCGGAGGAACUGAAUCAAACAUGAUUAAACGGUAAGUGGUAACGAUGUAAUGGACGAAAACACGAUUUCAGACGCGAACCAAAUACCUCCUUGGAGGAAAGAAAAAUGAGGAUAGGUUUUUACUAGGUUGUAUGCAUUGCAAGAAAUUUUAAAUGUAUUUUUGAAUAAGUUACUAUUCUUGCAAAAAAAACAUUGUCAGUGUAUAAAAAAAUUAGUAUGCUAUAUUUCUUUCCCGUUGCUUCACAUUCAGUGUCAUAUUGGACUUUUGUAAUUGAUUUAGACAAUGAAUUAGGACACUUAGGAAAUGAAAAUACCAAUAAUUGUCCUACGCAAAAGUGGCCAAUAUGGUGGAAAUUGCACGAUUGUGUGCUAUAGAAAAAGACACAUGCAUGUCGAAAAGGGUAUACAAGUAUUGUUGUUGGUCCUCAAAGGGUUAGUAAGAAGAUAAAAAUGUGUUUAAAAACUAUAAGUCACCAUAUUUGGGUACGCACAACAAAUUGAAUUCGCCUUUCAACAUAUUUUGUCUUUC
Lolium perenne is the source of this 2696-nucleotide long non-coding RNA. RefSeq lists it as uncharacterized. The record is from RefSeq and is a predicted model, not a curated record. Lineage: Eukaryota; Viridiplantae; Streptophyta; Magnoliopsida; Poales; Poaceae.